Molecule: long non-coding RNA, 710 nt
Organism: Alosa sapidissima (American shad)
Lineage: Eukaryota; Metazoa; Chordata; Actinopteri; Clupeiformes; Clupeidae
Exons: 3
Source: RefSeq, a predicted model, not a curated record
CUAUCUAUCUACUGGGAUGGUGUUUUUACUACUAUCAUUCUAUUUUUAAAGAAGGCCUGUGGGCAUUGGACUAUGGGUUUUCUACAGGAAUAGGCAGGUUUUGAAUAGGAACUGCACUAGUUAUAAUACAUUCACAAUGUACAAACUAGGCUGCUUCAUUUGUGAGCCUGUAAGAUCAGCUACAGUUAACUAGUUUCUAUCCUGUAUAUGCAGUUUGAAAAAAAUUCUGUUUUUCUGCAAGUAGAUUUCUCGGUUUUGCAUCCAGAGUCCUCCAGCAAGUUAGCAGAUAAAUGGAACCCGUUCUUUUCUGAAAAAUACAUUUGCAUGGCCAAGAAGGAGAAGACUGCAGACCUUCUCAUGAACAUAGACAAUCUCUCAGCAGAAAAAUGAGGAGAUGUGGCUUUGCAGCUGCUGCCCAUGCUGAUCCCACCAAGUGUAUAAAGUUCGGAGGAGAGUCAGGCCUACCACAGUUGAUGAGCCUAUUGGAACGAACAUUGAUGAGUAUCUCACAUAAGCAAAGGCGGAGUACCCAUUUGUAAUGUACUGUUUUAUCCACCGUUUUUUUGACUUGAUGCUACUUCUCGGCCGUUUAAGUUAGAGGCCAUAUCUUGGAGAAUCUAGUUUUACCAUUUUAUAAUGACUUUAUUUUUAAGAAAUAAAUGGAGAAAAAUGUCAUGUAAAUGAAAAUAUCAAUAAAAGAAUGAUUGAAA